UACGUAGGCAGCAAGCGUUGUUCGGAGUUACUGGGCGUAAAGGGGGUGUAGGCGGCCCCCUAAGUUUGGUGUGAAAUCUCCCGGCUUAACCGGGAGGGUGCGCCGAAGACUGGAGGGCUAGAGUGCGGGAUGGGAGAGUGGAAUUCCUGGUGUAGCGGUGAAAUGCGUAGAUAUCAGGAGGAACACCUGUGGUGUAGACGGCUCUCUGGACCGCAACUGACGCUGAAACACGAAAGCGUGGGUAGCAAGCAGG
This 253-nucleotide ribosomal RNA is filed under the name uncultured bacterium. RNAcentral's name for it is "partial 16S ribosomal RNA". It matches the Rfam family "Bacterial small subunit ribosomal RNA", at positions 524 to 776 of the family's 1533-position model. The record is from RNAcentral.